Molecule: non-coding RNA, 30 nt
Filed under: Rattus norvegicus (Norway rat)
Lineage: Eukaryota; Metazoa; Chordata; Mammalia; Rodentia; Muridae
Source: RNAcentral
UAAGAGGUGAUUCAGAAUGCAAGAUUCAGG